This 67-nucleotide transfer RNA is filed under the name Setarhynchus sp. AH-2016. Its description in RNAcentral is "tRNA-Ser". Lineage: Eukaryota; Metazoa; Arthropoda; Insecta; Coleoptera; Curculionidae. The record is from RNAcentral.
AAACUAAGAAAAUCAAAAUAAAGCUUCUAACUUUAAUUUUAAGCGGAGUAUCACCGUUUUUAGUUUA